Vigna unguiculata (cowpea) is the source of this 398-nucleotide long non-coding RNA. Lineage: Eukaryota; Viridiplantae; Streptophyta; Magnoliopsida; Fabales; Fabaceae. The record is from RefSeq and is a predicted model, not a curated record.
UUUCUCUCAUUCUCAGAAACUGUCCCCAAUCCUAAAGAGUCGCAGCCGCACUUCUGCUAGGGUUUACCUCUUCACCAUUCCAAGUUCGAUCAAGCUAUUCUCACUCCACCUCGCAAGUCCCCUCCUUGAGCUGUCGUGCUCCGUUGGUUAGAGUCGAGGCACCUUCUAGCUACUUCCAGAUGGACGAGAUUUCCGAGGUCAGCAAGGAAAUGGAGAUUCCACUGCUUAGCCAUCUAGGCUGGACUUUAUGCUUCUUUGUUUCGUGGGUUUUCUUUAGGGCUACGGCCCAUGUAUUUUUCUAUGCCUUACUGUUCUAUUCUCUUUGGUUAGACCUUUUAUCUGGUAUGCCCAGUUAGUAGGGGUUGUGUUAAGGAUCCCAAGACUACUCUACUAUACUU